Molecule: long non-coding RNA, 1869 nt
Filed under: Apis dorsata (giant honeybee)
Lineage: Eukaryota; Metazoa; Arthropoda; Insecta; Hymenoptera; Apidae
Description: uncharacterized LOC102672002, transcript variant X2
Source: RNAcentral
UUAAUACUUGAUCUGGUUAGUUUAUUUUAUUAUGUCGAUUUUUCCCGCGUAUUAAAUACACAUUUUUCGUUUGUGUCAAUCGAUAAUUAGUAUUAUUUAUUGUUUGAAGAUGAGCUGUUGGAAUAACGAACAUUAUGAGUGUAUCAACAUUAUCAAAAGCGAAAAUUUGGCGGUCCAGCAUCCAAUGGAACAAUUUCUAUCAAGGAACAAUCGAGAGGAAGGAAGCGGGCUAUUUUUGUGGAACAGAUAGGUCAAGAAGUUGGAAGACGAGUGAUGGGGCAAGCGAAGACGCGCGCAUCAAACGAACGAGAGGAUUGGUAAAACGAUUCGGCUUUCUAUGUAGAUCAGUUGAGACAAAGUAGAAAGAAUCGCGUAUCUAUACGAACCAUCACACUGAAAAUACUUCUCGGGAAAUAGCUUUUCAGAAAUUGCUUUACGGUAUAGAAAUAAUCGUCGAACGAGCGAGCGACCGACCGACCAGUCGACCAAGGUUCGAAACAUGGCGAACGAAGCAUAAAAAAUUUUUCUAGAUAAUCUAAUCAUACGUAGAGAAGAAAAGUACAUAAAAAAUUUCAUGAUUUUCGUUGAUAUUGAAUUCGCUAUUAAUUAAAAACAUAUAUUUUGUGACACGAAUUAAAUAAAUCAUUUAUUUAAAGGAAACAAAAAAAAAAAAUUUUACUAGAUGAAGAACUAUAUGCAAGAAGAACUAUAUGUGCAAUUAUUACUAGUAACACUUACGUUUAAAUAGAAGAGUAGACUAUACAACACGAAUUCGAACGAGUUUAGCCGAACGUGGACGAAUUAGAAAAAGAGAGAUAUACUAAUUGCAAUAUUUAUUCGUUAUAAGCUCACAGUUUAGCAUCAGCCACGAAUACGAGUAUGUAUUUUGUAGAAUCAUAAAAUUCUAUUUUCAUUUUAUUAGAAACGACGGCUAGCGAAAACUCAAUCCAAACUAUUUAGAGAAAUUUAUUUUGUAUUGUGUGAAAUUAUUUGUUUCAUUGGAUUCAAGUUAGAUUCUAUCAACUGAUGGGAAUGAUUCAAACAACGAACGAAUACUACGUAUGUUUGCCAAGGUCCAAGGUAAUAACUAACAUGAUCAAUUUCGAAACUCUUCGUUUAAUUAAACUGAAAGCAAAAAACAGUUGCACUGCGACAACUUUCAAUGUUAUGGAUACAUUUGUUUAGAAAGCAAAUUGAAUAUCCGUUCGAUUCUUCGUUUCGCAUUCGGUAGCACAUAGUCUCAGCUUUUACCCGAUAACAACUUCGUCCGAUAUCCAAUUUGGAUGGAUACACAGUUGCUUGGAAAGGUCACGUAUUCCGAACGACGCUGCCGCUGCGUAUUACCCGGAAUAAAAUUUGAUGGGGCUACGGUAAAGGACUGCGGAAUUUUCGAAUAUGACGAAUGGACCAGCGCGAUAGUUCCCUUGUAAUCUUUGGUCCUUCCUGUUUUAUGAACUGGUCGUUCGUCAUUCUACACGAUUCUUCGACUUACGAAUAUGACACCCGAGUUAAAAUGUAAUAUGACAAUUAUCUUGAAAAAGUAAUAUUUACUUUUGACAUUUCAUUGGGAGUACACAGUGUUCUCUAUAUAAGAUGAUCGAAUGGCAUAUAAUUAUUUGAAUCUAAAUAUUUCAAAACUCGAUCUUUUAUUUAAAUAUUCACCUUUCAUCUUCAAAAAAACGAAAUUCACGAAAUUCAACACAUGUAAUAUAUUCCCCGUGAAACGUGUCCUCGAGUCAAGAAUCGCAUCAGUGUUCCUAUCACGUAAGUCAACAACAAUGAACAAAAAAAAACGAGAAAAAUAUAAUCAAGAUUCGAUUCUACUCACACCAGUAAGCGGAUAUAUCGUAUUGCAAUCUCGAAAAUCGA